GACGAACGCUGGCGGCGUGCUUAACACAUGCAAGUCGAACGGAAAGGCCCUGCUUUUGUGGGGUGCUCGAGUGGCGAACGGGUGAGUAACACGUGAGUAACCUGCCCUUGACUUUGGGAUAACUUCAGGAAACUGGGGCUAAUACCGGAUAGGAGCUCCGGCUGCAUGGGGGGGGUUGGAAAGUUUCGGCGGUGGGGGAUGGGUUCGCGGCUUAUCAGCCUGUGGGUGGGGUAGUGGCUUACCAAGGCUUUGACGGGUAGCCGGCCUGGGAGGGGGACCGGCCACAUUGGGCCUGAGAUACGGCCCAGACUCCAACGGGACGGAGCAGUGGGGAAUAUUGCACAGUGGGCGGAAGCCUGAUGCAGCAACGCAGCGUGCGGGAUGACGGGCUUCGGGUUGUAAACCGCUUUCGCCUGUGACGAAGCGUGAGUGACGGUAAUGGGUAAAGAAGCACCGGCUAACUACGUG
Molecule: ribosomal RNA, 468 nt
Filed under: uncultured bacterium
Lineage: Bacteria
Description: partial 16S ribosomal RNA
Rfam family: Bacterial small subunit ribosomal RNA
Source: RNAcentral